ACUUCAGAGGAUAGCAGAAGCGUUUGGGAAAGCGCGCCAGAGAGGGUGAGAGCCCCGUAAGCGAAAUCCAAAGAAGGCCUAUCAGUAUCCUGAGUAGGGCGGGACACGUGAAAUCCCGUUUGAAUCCGCGAGGACCAUCUCGCAAGGCUAAAUACUAACCAGUGACCGAUAGUGAACCAGUACCGUGAGGGAAAGGUGAAAAGAACCCCGGGAGGGGAGUGAAAGAGAACCUGAAACCGUGUGCCUACAAGUAGUCAGAGCCCGUUAACGGGUAAUGGCGUGCCUUUUGUAGAAUGAACCGGCGAGUUGCGUUAGUCAGCAAGGUUAAGUCAGAAAAGACGGAGCCGUAGCGAAAGCGAGUCUGAAGAGGGCGAGCAGUUGGCUGACGCAGACCCGAAACCAAGUGACCUACCCAUGACCAGGUUGAAGGCGCGGUAAAACGCGCUGGAGGACCGAACCCACGUAAGUUGAAAAUUGCGGGGAUGAGUUGUGGGUAGCGGUGAAAUUCCAAACGAACUUGGAGAUAGCUGGUUCUCUCCGAAAUAGCUUUAGGGCUAGCCUCGCAAAGAGGAUGCUGGAGGUAGAGCUCUGUUUGGACUAGGGGCCCGUCAAGGGUUACUGAAUUCAGAUAAACUGCGAAUUCCAGACAU
Molecule: ribosomal RNA, 650 nt
Filed under: Lactobacillus delbrueckii subsp. bulgaricus
Lineage: Bacteria; Bacillati; Bacillota; Bacilli; Lactobacillales; Lactobacillaceae
Description: partial 23S ribosomal RNA
Rfam family: Bacterial large subunit ribosomal RNA
Source: RNAcentral